GAUGAAGAACGCAGCGAAAUGCGAUACGUAAUGUGAAUUGCAGAAUUCAGUGAAUCAUCGAAUCUUUGAACGCAUAUUGCGCUCUCUGGUAUUCCGGAGAGCAUGCUUGUUUGAGUAUCAGUAAACACCUCAACUCCCUUUUCUUUUUUGAAAUUGGAGCUGGACUUGAGUGAUCCCAACGCUUUCUUCCAAGAAAGUGGCGGGUUGCUUGAAAUGCAGGUGCAGCUGAACUUUUCUCUGAGCUAUAAGCAUAUCUAUUUAGUCUGCCAAAAAAACAGAUUAUUACCUUUGCUGCAGCUAACAUAAAGGAGACUAGUUCUUGUGCUGACUGAUGCAGGAUUCACAGAGACAGCUUCGGCUGACUUUGUAAACUCGAUCUCAAAUCAAGUAAGACUACCCGCUGAACUUAAGCAUAUCAAUAAGCGGAGGA
RNAcentral lists this unclassified non-coding RNA (430 nucleotides) under soil metagenome. Its description in RNAcentral is "partial contains 5.8S ribosomal RNA, internal transcribed spacer 2, and large subunit ribosomal RNA". The stretch from base 1 to 120 matches the Rfam family "5.8S ribosomal RNA", at positions 35 to 154 of the family's 154-position model. The record is from RNAcentral.